AGAAACGCUUAUUUUUGUUCUUGCUCUGAGAUCACUCCUUAUUGUUAAUUAAAUAAAUCAAACUGGUGGAGAAAAUAGCAAAUGCUUAGCAAAAGUAUAUUUCAUCAAACUGUCUGAUCCUGGGGAUUCCAAGUCUUUAUUCUACAAGGAAAACUACUCUGUUGGAUUUAUAUAUAUAUAUAUAUUUAUGUACAUACACACGCAUACAAAUGUCAUAGGUAUGUGUACAAGUAUAUGCGAUGGCUAAUAUCAAGUCUCUCUCUCUUUGCUGCUGGAGGUGAUCAUGUUUCUUCUUUCCAGACCUAAAGACUGUCUCUUUCAUAGGUAACAAAGACAAAAAGUCCCAGAGACCCAUUGAUUUCAUUCCCCUUGGGAAACUUAAGUUUUGUCUGCAAGUGGGGCAAACACUUCACUAGCAAGGGAGAGGAAAUAAGAUCAUGUUCCCAUCUGCUUCACUUGGUGCCUCAGUAGCAAAACUUCUCUGCAAUCUCUAAGAAGGCUGACGCAGCUGGCAAACACUGAAAAAAAAAAAAAAAAAAAAAAAAAAAAAAGAUAAUCCUAGAUUUCCAGGCAACCAGGGGAAUCCUGCAAACAACCCUGAAUGUACCAUAGAAUCAUAGAAUCAUUAAGGUUGAAAAAGACCACUAAGAUCAUCUAAUUCAACCAUCAACUCAUCUCCACCAUCCCUACUAAACCGUGUCCCUCGGUGCCACAUCUGCCCUUUUCCUGAACACCUCCAGGGACAGUGACACCACCACCUCCCUGGGCAGCCUGUUCCAGUGCAUUACCACAUUUCCUCAGAAGAAAUUUUUCCUAACUUCCAGCCUGAACCUCCCCUAGCGCAACUUCAAGCCAUUACCAUCUUCUGGUAUAUUUUGUGGAGCAAGACCUAGUGCCAGGUGGAUCCCUGCUGCCUUUCAAAUGUAAGGGCUGCGGUUUCAUGAAGCAGAUGAAAAUUUGCUUUUUAUUCACCCUUUGAUCAAGACCAACUUCCAGCAGCAGCCAGUGGGCUCUGCCGGCUUCCGUUUUGGAUCUGCCCCAUUCUGGGUACUGGUUUCUGGAGUAACCAUCCAUGCACGCUUUAAGGCAUGUUUUUGUUUCUCAUCUAUCUAUUCACUUAACAAAUUAGUUCAGUCUAGUCUCAUGCAAAUUGGAGGUUCGAUUUCCUUGUAUACUUUGAAAUUCUUCCUCUGCUUUUACCAGCCAAUGUGCAGCUCCUGUUGUUUUCCUGCUAGGAUGGGUUUUCAUUGCUCGCUGCAGGCUGUAGAAGUUAAUACAUGUGAAUACAAUCCAAGUAAGCUGAGUAUAUGUUUUACUAUAUACAGAGAGUAAAACAUGGGGACAACAGUACAGAGAGAGGAAGGGGGGAGAGAGAAAAGAGUCAGAUUUGUUUCCUUUCUGAUAACGUGAAGUAAAAAUAGAAAGAAAAAAAAAUUCUGGUCAACUCAGAGGAAAGAGUGCAACUAGUUACUGCACAAAGCCCAAAUGCAAAAUGUCAGCUUCCUCCUAGAUGUUGAGGGAGAGAGGUGUAAGGUUUCUUCUCACGUGUGAGGACAGAGGAUGGAGAAGACAUCAUUUUGGCAGCACCUAGAGAUGCCACAAAGCCUAUGGGUCAGUUUACAGG
Molecule: long non-coding RNA, 1624 nt
Filed under: Gallus gallus (chicken)
Lineage: Eukaryota; Metazoa; Chordata; Aves; Galliformes; Phasianidae
Description: lncRNA (ENSGALG00010007685.1)
Source: RNAcentral